UGCUCAAGCGUCACAAAUCAUUUAGGAGGACUCACACACCCACCCACCUGCACACACCAGACUACCAGAGAAAUCAAAGUCCAAACAAAAAUACAUCAAUCAGAGCAUGGUUGUUUAAAAUAGGGCCAAACCAGGCACCAGCUCAGGAGAAAUUGAUGGCACAAUUGAGGAAAGCUGAAGGAAAAGAAGGAAUCAAAGAGAAGGAG
This 206-nucleotide unclassified non-coding RNA is filed under the name Hevea brasiliensis (rubber tree). The record is from RNAcentral. Lineage: Eukaryota; Viridiplantae; Streptophyta; Magnoliopsida; Malpighiales; Euphorbiaceae.